This 1379-nucleotide long non-coding RNA is filed under the name Anser brachyrhynchus (Pink-footed goose). RNAcentral's name for it is "lncRNA (ENSABRG00000019300.1)". Lineage: Eukaryota; Metazoa; Chordata; Aves; Anseriformes; Anatidae. The record is from RNAcentral.
AUGGUAGGCUAUUUGAAGGAAGGUCGAAGGAUCUCAAUGAAGAGAUGAGACUGAUGCUUCCGAACUACUGGUCUAGAAAGACCCCAGUAAAGAUAUGUUUAUUUACACUUCACAGAGGUCUGAGAAUACCAUUUAUUAGAAGACUGAGAUACCAGUUAUUGAUAAUUAAUCCUUUCUUCAACAUUUUUUACAACCAUUUCCUUUAGUGACAGUAACCAUUAUAGGCAGCAUGCACAGAAGAGGUCCCCAGCUUUGUUUAAAACAGCACAAACUUUAAUGCCUUUUUAGAGACAGCACCAUGGUCCAUUUAUGCUAGCUGAAGAUCUGUCACUUCAACUUAAAUUAUUUGAAACUGUAUUUAGAGAAAAAGCUAUAUCUGUUUGAAGUAGUUUAGCAUUUAUAAACGUAAGAGCUGGAAAGGAUAUCAGAAUUGCUUGUUAAACCUCACCUUGGGGAAACAGGGAUAAUUCUGAUGACCCUGCCCACAGGAACAGCUGCUGAUAAAUAGGGGAUCAGCAGAUAGUGAGGGUUAAGGUUAGUAAAAGGCAGAGCAUGGAGCUCUGACCAGAGAGUCCCUGAAAAGAGACUGGCUGGAGGGAUGAGAAGGCUGCAAAAAGAGUUCUCUUUUUCAGGCAGGGCCUUUUUGAAGUCUGUGUGGAGUCUUGCCACUGCUUUCACAGGAUUUUGGAUCAGGACCAUAACUGUCUGUGCUGCUGACAUAUAUCUGGACCUUACCUGUUGCUUUCAAGAAAUGCGGUGCUGUGGCCUAGGACUGGCUGCUCAGGAGCAUCGGUUUCCCCUAAAGGCUUGGAAAUCACAUAACGUGUUGUAGCUGCACAGCUGUGGUACAAAUGAUAAUGCACGGUGAAGUGAAUGGGUAAACCCAGCAGCACAGCAUUUAUGUGCAUGUGUUGGGUUUGAGUUUAUUUCAGCACAGGGAUCUGUGCAGAGGAAGUGGCAGUGACACAGUCCUCUGGAAACUGGAUCCCAGGCAGGAGCAGCCCAUCCUGCUGAGCAAGGGCUGCUCUGAUGUGUGAGCAGAAGCAUGCCCCAGCCUUGCCCCAUCGUGGUACAGGUCCCUUUUCAGCAUGCAACAGCUUUAGUAUGUGGCUGUGCUCUCUGUAGAGCAGACAAUUGGGUGGUUUUGUACGGUUUGGGGAGCAGGUUGAAGUUGCUAGCUUAGAGAUCACAACUCUCCAGCAAAAAGAAACAUUAUAAGACCUUUAUGAUUAUAAGUACAUAGAUGUAUAAGUACAAACAGGCCUUUAUGAUUAUAAGUACUGGGGAAGGGUUGGGGGGAAGAGUAUUAGAAUCAUAUUAAUUCUUUCUCAUGAGGAAAAAAAAAUAAAAAUAACAAGUGAGUUUUUGUUAAUGGCUAA